Melospiza melodia melodia is the source of this 911-nucleotide long non-coding RNA. RefSeq lists it as uncharacterized. The transcript is spliced from 3 exons. Lineage: Eukaryota; Metazoa; Chordata; Aves; Passeriformes; Passerellidae. The record is from RefSeq and is a predicted model, not a curated record.
CAGCCACCUCUCCUCCUCCACUUCGCUGCUCCAAAAUGCAUCAUUAGCUGUGUAAUGACUGGGAUUAGUGUGUUCCUGCUGAAAUGCUUUAGUACAUGAUGAAUUGUAGACUGUUUGCCUGGACCAUUCACAUCUAACAAAACACAAUUUGUUAUCCAAAACAAAGGGCUGGGUUUUUUUCCAGGGCACAGCUUUUUUAUGAAGCAGAGCUGUUAACCCUGCAGCCUGACAGAAAGCAGAUCACGAGGAGGAGAAGGUGUGUCAGCUGAGUGCUUCAGGCUUCUGAAGGCACUGACCAGGAACUGAAGGCCUGAACUUUGACUGCUGCUCCCCAGCUCUUACAGAGACGUGGCAAUGUUUGCUGUGGGUACCAGGCCUGAAAUAUCAGCAGUGAUGUCGUGUGAGGAAAGGAAAAUGUUCAAAGCCUUGACUCGUCAUUCAUCAGUGGAACUGGUAUCAGCAGAAACUUUUCAGUAUAUAUCAAAUGAUAGUGGAGAUAGAAGUGAGGAAAAUGAAAUGCUACACAUCAUUAUUUUCUUACUGAAUCUAGCAGAUUUGCAAACACUCACGCAAAACGGUAAGAAAGAAUUGCAUCUGUACAAGUUUAAAAAAUUAGAAAGGUGAGUUUUGCUGAAGGCAGGUUUGUAUUUUCAGAGAGCUAGGCAGUUUCUCAACACAAAAAUGACAUAGUUUCUUCCAUUAAGAGACCUGACAAAAUGAAAAUUACAGAAAAGGUUGACACAUUAUCACCAUGAUACACUGAUAAAAUAAUGCAGUUUGGUUUUGUUAGAGACAUUUUACAUUUAUAAACAUGGAUAAUAUUUCUGGGGUUUUUUAAAUUUUGUGGGCAUUUUUCCAGAAUUGUUCUAAGCAUUUAUUAUGAACGGCACAUCAGAGCCAAACUCUUACCU